Molecule: ribosomal RNA, 324 nt
Filed under: uncultured eukaryote
Lineage: Eukaryota
Description: partial 18S ribosomal RNA
Rfam family: Eukaryotic small subunit ribosomal RNA
Source: RNAcentral
CCCUUAGAUGUUCUGGGCCGCACGCGCGCUACACUGAUGCAUUCAACGAGUUUCUUCCUGGUCCGAGGGGAAUGGGUAACCUUUUGAAAGUGCAUCGUGAUAGGGAUAGACUAUUGCAAUUAUUGAUCUUCAACGAGGAAUUCCUAGUAGACGUAGUUCAUCAGACUGCAUCGAUUACGUCCCUGCCCUUUGUACACACCGCCCGUCGCUCCUACCGAUUGAAUGCUCAGGUGAGCCAUUCGGACUUUCAUCAUGCUGGUUUCCAGUUUUGAUGAAGGAAAGUCUUGCGAACCUUAUCAUUUAGAGGAAGGAGAAGUCGUAACA